AGAGUUUGAUCAUGGCUCAGGAUGAACGCUAGCUACAGGCUUAACACAUGCAAGUCGAGGGGAAACGAUAUUGGAAGCUUGCUUUCCGAUAGGCGUCGACCGGCGCACGGGUGAGUAACGCGUAUCCAACCUGCCCACCACUUGGGGAUAACCUUGCGAAAGUAAGACUAAUACCCAAUGAUAUCUCUAGAAGACAUCUGAAAGAGAUUAAAGAUUUAUCGGUGAUGGAUGGGGAUGCGUCUGAUUAGCUUGUUGGCGGGGUAACGGCCACAAGGCGACGAUCAGUAGGGGUUCUGAGAGGAAGGUCCCCCANAUUGGAACUGAGACACGGUCAAACUCCUACGGGAGCA
This 350-nucleotide ribosomal RNA is filed under the name uncultured bacterium. RNAcentral describes it as "bacterial SSU rRNA". It matches the Rfam family "Bacterial small subunit ribosomal RNA", at positions 8 to 349 of the family's 1533-position model. The record is from RNAcentral.